CCCGGUUUAAGCGUGUAGGCUGGUUUUCCAGGCAAAUCCGGAAAAUCAAGGCUGAGGCGUGACGACGAGGCACUACGGUGCUGAAGCAACAAAUGCCCUGCUUCCAGGAAAAGCCUCUAAGCAUCAGGUAACAUCAAAUCGUACCCCAAACCGACACAGGUGGUCAGGUAGAGAAUACCAAGGCGCUUGAGAGAACUCGGGUGAAGGAACUAGGCAAAAUGGUGCCGUAACUUCGGGAGAAGGCACGCUGACACGUAGGUGAAGUGAUUUACUCAUGGAGCUGAAGUCAGUCGAA
This 295-nucleotide ribosomal RNA is filed under the name Salmonella enterica subsp. enterica serovar Bareilly str. CFSAN001088. RNAcentral describes it as "partial 23S ribosomal RNA". It matches the Rfam family "Bacterial large subunit ribosomal RNA", at positions 1506 to 1791 of the family's 2925-position model. The record is from RNAcentral. Lineage: Bacteria; Pseudomonadati; Pseudomonadota; Gammaproteobacteria; Enterobacterales; Enterobacteriaceae.